This is a long non-coding RNA of Paramacrobiotus metropolitanus, 951 nucleotides long. RefSeq lists it as uncharacterized. Lineage: Eukaryota; Metazoa; Tardigrada; Eutardigrada; Parachela; Macrobiotidae. The transcript is spliced from 4 exons. The record is from RefSeq and is a predicted model, not a curated record.
GGUGAUCAAACUGGAAGAUGUUAAGUUUUUUGUUUGGCUCUCUCGUUCUCGACGUCAUCGUCAACAAAUCUGAAUUCUAGCAGUACAGAUACUUUUCCUGCAGUUUUUGCGAUAUCGCAGUGAAAUGCUUAUGAAUAGAGUUUUUCGUCCUUCUGCUGGAAGACACUGGACUCUGACUGGAGAAUUCUGCAAAGUGGUAGUUCACCCUGUUGAAGUAUGCGAACUUGAACUCUGUGGCAGCGCUUAUCGCAGUCCAAAAACUUUGCCUGCAGCAUCCGUUCCUAGUAAAAAUGAAUGUUCCAGCCAAAUGUGACGAUAUCGUUCAUACCCAGCCCGUCUUGUCCGCGGAAAGGGAAACGGAGAAGAGCUUUGUGCGUGCCAGAUUUCCAUUCACAGAGAUGCAGUACCCCACAGCGGUAGCUUUGAACCGUAACGCGGGGAUUUCUUGAGAGCAGAGAACGGAAAUUAUAGAAAAGGAUUGUUUCAGACAAAAUCGUCGUCGUGGAGGAAGAGAUUGACUGUCCACCUGUAACCUGUAAUCACUGUGAGGAAAACGCCAACCCAAAGCUGUGUGCUGUUUGCGGCUCUCUCAAAGAUCGGCGAUAUCGCCAUGUCAUGUCCACCCAGUUCUACAUACAUAUAACUCAACCGUUGCGUUUGCCUCAUCAGUAGCGGAAAGUAGCCGGAUCUCAUGUGGAAUUUAUUAAAGAAGAACACCAGUCGAAACUUCAAAAUAAGUGUUCCAAAAUUCGUCGAGCGAAAGGUUGCUGACGACAUCGUCUGGGCAGACUGAAUUUAUUGACAAUAUUGUCUGAAUUUCCCGAGGCCUGUCUAAAAUCUUCUCAGAGUGUUUGUUUCCCUUUCAUUUGAAUAUUUUUUGAACCAGAUGAAUUUAGCGUGAUACGAAAUUUUUUCAGUUGUGAAUAUCUUGAUAUUUAAGGGUACAAAGUA